Molecule: ribosomal RNA, 424 nt
Filed under: uncultured bacterium
Lineage: Bacteria
Description: partial 16S ribosomal RNA
Rfam family: Bacterial small subunit ribosomal RNA
Source: RNAcentral
AAUCUUCCACAAUGGGCGAAAGCCUGAUGGAGCAACGCCGCGUGAGUGAAGAAGGUUUUCGGAUCGUAAAACUCUGUUGUAAGGGAAGAACAAGUACAGUAGUAACUGGCUGUACCUUGACGGUACCUUAUUAGCAAGCCACGGCUAACUACGUGCCAGCCGCAGCGGUAAUACGUAGGUGGCAAGCGUUGUCCGGAAUUAUUGGGCGUAAAGCGAGCGCGGGCGGGCCUUUAAGUCUGAUGUGAACGCCCACGGCUCAACCGUGGGGGGUCAUUGGAAACUGGGGGACUUGAGUGCAGAAGAGGAAAGUGGAAUUCCAAGUGUAGCGGUGAAAUGCGUAGUGAUUUGGAGGAACACCAGUGGCGAAGGCGACUUUCUGGUCUGUAACUGACGCUGAGGCGCGAAAGCGUGGGGAGCAAACAGG